CCACCGGUCUGAACUCAAAUCAUGUAAAAUUCUAAAGGUCGAACAGUACCUUCUAUUAUAAUCUCUACUUUAUAAAGAACUUUUAAUUCAACAUCGAGGUCGCAAACUUUCUUGUCGAUAAGAACUCUUAAAGAAAAUUACGCUGUUAUCCCUAAAGUAACUUAAUCUUAAAUCCCUUUUAGGAUCAUUAAACCAAAUAUAACUGUAAAAAAAAAAAAGACAAUUAUUGUAUAUUUUAUCCUUGUCACCCCAACCAAAUACUCCAAAAUAAUAUCAUUAAAUAAAACUAAUUACUACCUUAUAAAUAUAAAGUUUUAUAGGGUCUUAUCGUCCCUUCAAAUUAUUUAAGCCUUUUCACUUAAAAGUUAAAUUCAAUAUAUUAAUUUAAGACAGAUUAUUUCUUGUCCAACCAUUCAUUCUAGUCUUCAAUUAAAAAACUAAUGAUUAUGCUACCUUUGCACGGUUAUAGUACCGCGGCCUUUUAGUUCCCAAUGGGCAGGUCAGACCGUAUA
Molecule: ribosomal RNA, 512 nt
Filed under: Procambarus sp. Platanos stream-PJGY
Lineage: Eukaryota; Metazoa; Arthropoda; Malacostraca; Decapoda; Cambaridae
Description: partial 16S ribosomal RNA
Source: RNAcentral